RNAcentral lists this ribosomal RNA (205 nucleotides) under uncultured bacterium. RNAcentral describes it as "partial 16S ribosomal RNA". It matches the Rfam family "Bacterial small subunit ribosomal RNA", at positions 568 to 774 of the family's 1533-position model. The record is from RNAcentral.
CGCGUAGGCGGCUUUAUAAGUCGGGGUGAAAGCCUGUGGCUCAACCACAGAAUUGCCUUCGAUACUGUAGAGCUUGAGACCGGAAGAGGUAAGUGGAACUGCGAGUGUAGAGGUGAAAUUCGUAGAUAUUCGCAAGAACACCAGUGGCGAAGGCGGCUUACUGGUCCGGUUCUGACGCUGAGGCGCGAAAGCGUGGGAGCAAACA